CUAGGAUGGCCAGGAGCUAGAAACAGAACUAGGUUGGCUAGUUGGCCAGGAGCUACAAACAGAACUAGGUUGGCUAGGAGCUAGAAAAAGAGCUAUGUUGGCUAGGAGCUAGAAACAACUCUGUUAGCCAGGGGCAAGAACCAGAACUAUGUUGGCCAGGAGAAAGAAACAGAACUAUGUUGGCCAGGAGCUAGAAACAGAACUAGGUUGGCCAGGAGCUAGAAAAAGAACUAGGUUGGCCAGGAGCUAGAAACAGAACUAGGUUGGCUAGUUGGCCAGGAGCUAGAAACAGAACUCUGUUGGCUAGGAGCUAGAAACAGAACUAGG
This 327-nucleotide long non-coding RNA is filed under the name Salmo salar (Atlantic salmon). Its description in RNAcentral is "lncRNA (ENSSSAG00000108319.1)". Lineage: Eukaryota; Metazoa; Chordata; Actinopteri; Salmoniformes; Salmonidae. The record is from RNAcentral.